Molecule: ribosomal RNA, 1090 nt
Filed under: Acinetobacter sp.
Lineage: Bacteria; Pseudomonadati; Pseudomonadota; Gammaproteobacteria; Moraxellales; Moraxellaceae
Description: bacterial SSU rRNA
Rfam family: Bacterial small subunit ribosomal RNA
Source: RNAcentral
UGCAAGUCGAGCGGAGAGAGGUAGCUUGCUACUGAACUUAGCGGCGGACGGGUGAGUAAUGCUUAGGAAUCUGCCUAUUAGUGGGGGACAACAUUUCGAAAGGAAUGCUAAUACCGCAUACGUCCUACGGGAGAAAGCAGGGGAUCUUCGGACCUUGCGCUAAUAGAUGAGCCUAAGUCGGAUUAGCUAGUUGGUGGGGUAAAGGCCUACCAAGGCGACGAUCUGUAGCGGGUCUGAGAGGAUGAUCCGCCACACUGGGACUGAGACACGGCCCAGACUCCUACGGGAGGCAGCAGUGGGGAAUAUUGGACAAUGGGCGGAAGCCUGAUCCAGCCAUGCCGCGUGUGUGAAGAAGGCCUUAUGGUUGUAAAGCACUUUAAGCGAGGAGGAGGCUACUUUAGUUAAUACCUAGAGAUAGUGGACGUUACUCGCAGAAUAAGCACCGGCUAACUCUGUGCCAGCAGCCGCGGUAAUACAGAGGGUGCAAGCGUUAAUCGGAUUUACUGGGCGUAAAGCGCGCGUAGGCGGCUAAUUAAGUCAAAUGUGAAAUCCCCGAGCUUAACUUGGGAAUUGCAUUCGAUACUGGUUAGCUAGAGUGUGGGAGAGGAUGGUAGAAUUCCAGGUGUAGCGGUGAAAUGCGUAGAGAUCUGGAGGAAUACCGAUGGCGAAGGCAGCCAUCUGGCCUAACACUGACGCUGAGGUGCGAAAGCAUGGGGAGCAAACAGGAUUAGAUACCCUGGUAGUCCAUGCCGUAAACGAUGUCUACUAGCCGUUGGGGCCUUUGAGGCUUUAGUGGCGCAGCUAACGCGAUAAGUAGACCGCCUGGGGAGUACGGUCGCAAGACUAAAACUCAAAUGAAUUGACGGGGGCCCGCACAAGCGGUGGAGCAUGUGGUUUAAUUCGAUGCAACGCGAAGAACCUUACCUGGCCUUGACAUAGUAAGAACUUUCCAAAGAUGGAUUGGUGCCUUCGGGAACUUACAUACAGGUGCUGCAUGGCUGUCGUCAGCUCGUGUCCUGAAAUGUUGGGUUAAGUCCCGCAACGAGCGCACCCUUUUCCUUAUUUGCCAGCGAGUAAUGUCGGGAACUUU